RNAcentral lists this unclassified non-coding RNA (712 nucleotides) under Mesorhizobium plurifarium. Its description in RNAcentral is "partial miscellaneous RNA". The stretch from base 580 to 712 matches the Rfam family "Bacterial large subunit ribosomal RNA", at positions 1 to 132 of the family's 2925-position model. Lineage: Bacteria; Pseudomonadati; Pseudomonadota; Alphaproteobacteria; Hyphomicrobiales; Phyllobacteriaceae. The record is from RNAcentral.
CAGUUGGUUAGAGCGCGCGCUUGAUAAGCGUGAGGUCGGAGGUUCAAGUCCUCCCAGGCCCACCAAUUCGCAAUCCGCAAGGAUUGUCGAUCUCCUUGACACGAAGGUUAUCAGGGGCCGUAGCUCAGCUGGGAGAGCGCCUGCUUUGCAAGCAGGAUGUCGUCGGUUCGAUCCCGUCCGGCUCCACCAACCAUCUUCUGCGAAGAUGGGGCGUGUCGAGUAGAGACGGUGAGAAAAAAGUCAUUCGAAAAAGAGUUUGCGGCGAGCUUAGCGCUCUCUGCCUGUUCUGUUUGACAUCGUAAAGAGAAGAUUUGUUCGAACUUCAUGAUCCGCAAGGGCCGUGAUUUGUCGCUGGAGACGCUCAAUCUCCAGCAUAUGAUGGGUUUGCCUAACCGCGCCCUCGAACGGAUCUCGAGAAGCUGGUCUUUUUGUGCCAAUUCCAUUGAAGCGGGUCCCGCACAGGAUCUGGUUCGAGGCGACGAUCCUUCGAGGUCGCGCUUAGCUAACCUCGCAAGAGAGAGGCUGAAGCGACGAUUUCUUCGAAAUCGCGCCUGCGUGAUGGGUAUUGGCAAUGAGAACGAUCAAGUGUCUUAAGGGCAAUUGGUGGAUGCCUUGGCAUGCACAGGCGAUGAAGGACGUGAUACGCUGCGAUAAGCUACGGGGAGGUGCGAAUACCCUUUGAUCCGUAGAUCUCCGAAUGGGGAAACCCGGA